AUAUAUAUAUAUAUAUAGUUCUUCGAAUUUUAUUUAUUAUUUUGUAAUUUGAAAGAGUAUGGGGAGAUGAAACCGACUAUUAUUCUUGAUUGAGAAUUGAAUUUGAUGAAGCAGGUAGGUAAAAAGAGUGGUGAUUUUGUAAUUUACUGGCGUGCAGGAGGCAGCUUUAUAUGUGGUGAAAACACGUAAUGUAGAAGAAGCUUUGAGCGUAUUCACAGAGGGUUCAGAGCCGGUGGAUAGUGUUGCACCAAAAGGAGGUUCAACAAUGCAUUUGGAUGGGGAAAUCAAUUCUAUUCGACCUCAAUUAAUAAAGCUCCCAGCUGAGCUGAGAGAUGUAGUUUCUGCUCCUUUUUAGUUUGGUUUCUCUGUAUUCUAACUUUCCAUCAAAUAACAUUUUUGUUUGGCGAAAAAGAAUAGCUAAAAUACAUAAAAUUGUAUAUAAUAAGCCAUUCAUUGUGAAAUAUUAAUGAUCUAUAAGUAAUGUACAUUGUUGUAAAGCACUUGUUAUUUAUCUGCUUGAUCGGAGUUCGAUUUUUCA
Molecule: non-coding RNA, 538 nt
Organism: Jatropha curcas
Lineage: Eukaryota; Viridiplantae; Streptophyta; Magnoliopsida; Malpighiales; Euphorbiaceae
Source: RefSeq, a predicted model, not a curated record